GACAGAGGCCUCGAGCGUUAGGCGGAAUCACUGGGCUUAAAGCGUGUGUAGGCGGAUCGUUAAGUGCCUUGUGAAAUCCCACGGCUCAACCGUGGAAGAGCCUGUGAUACUGCUGAUCUUGAGAGAGGUAGGGGCGUGCGGAACUUCCGGUGGAGCGGUGAAAUGCGUAGAUAUCGGAAGGAACACCGGUGGCGAAAGCGGCGCGCUGGACCUCUUCUGACGCUGAGGCGCGAAAGCCAGGGGAGCAAACGGG
This 253-nucleotide ribosomal RNA is filed under the name uncultured bacterium. RNAcentral describes it as "partial 16S ribosomal RNA". It matches the Rfam family "Bacterial small subunit ribosomal RNA", at positions 524 to 776 of the family's 1533-position model. The record is from RNAcentral.